This 839-nucleotide ribosomal RNA is filed under the name uncultured euryarchaeote. RNAcentral describes it as "bacterial SSU rRNA". It matches the Rfam family "Archaeal small subunit ribosomal RNA", at positions 21 to 865 of the family's 1478-position model. The record is from RNAcentral. Lineage: Archaea; Methanobacteriati; Methanobacteriota.
AGGUUACUGCUAUCGAGGUUCGACUAAGCCAUGCGAGUCGAAUGUAGCAAUACAUGGCGUACUGCUCAGUAACACGUGGACAACCUACCCUUAGGACGGGGAUAAACCCGGGAAACUGGGUAUAAUACCCGAUAGUCCUCGGCUGCUGGAAUGCACCGAGAACUAAAGCUCCGGCGCCUAAGGAUGGGUCUGCGGCCUAUCAGGUAGUAGUGGGUGUAGCGUACCUACUAGCCUACGACGGGUACGGGUUGUGAGAGCAAGAGCCCGGAGAUGGAUUCUGAGACACGAAUCCAGGCCCUACGGGGUGCAGCAGGCGCGAAAACUUUACAAUGCUGGAAACAGCGAUAAGGGGACCUCGAGUGCCAGGUUACAAAUCUGGCUGUCGUGAUGCCUAAAAAGCAUUGCAUAGCAAGGGCCGGGCAAGACCGGUGCCAGCCGCCGCGGUAACACCGGCGGCUCGAGUGGUAACCGUUAUUAUUGGGUCUAAAGGGUCUGUAGCCGGCCGGAUAAGUCUCUUGGGAAAUCUGGCAGCUUAACUGUCAGGCUUUCAGGAGAUACUGUCUGGCUCGAGGCCGGGAGGGGUGAGAGGUACUUCAGGGGUAGGGGUGAAAUCUUGUAAUCCUUGAAGGACCACCAGUGGCGAAGGCGUCUCACCAGAACGGACCUGACGGCAAGGGACGAAAGCUAGGGGCACGAACCGGAUUAGAUACCCGGGUAGUCCUAGCCGUAAACGAUACUCGCUAGGUGUCGGCCACGGUGCGACCGUUGUCGGUGCCGUAGGGAAGCCGUGAAGCGAGCCACCUGGGAAGUACGGCCGCAAGGCUGAAACUUAAAGGAAU